UACGGAGGGAGCAAGCGUUACUCGGAAUUAUUGGGCGUAAAGGGCUCGUAGGCGGUCCAUCGCGUCGGGAGUGAAAAGCUGGGGCUUAACCCCAGUCCUGCUUCCGAUACGGGUGGACUAGAGGUAGGUAGGGGAGAACGGAAUUCCUGGUGUAGCGGUGAAAUGCGCAGAUAUCAGGAGGAACACCGGUGGCGAAGGCGGUUCUCUGGGACGGUACUGACGCUGAGACGCGAAAGCGUGGGGAGCGAACAGG
RNAcentral lists this ribosomal RNA (253 nucleotides) under uncultured bacterium. Its description in RNAcentral is "partial 16S ribosomal RNA". It matches the Rfam family "Bacterial small subunit ribosomal RNA", at positions 524 to 776 of the family's 1533-position model. The record is from RNAcentral.